UAACGCGUGAGUAACCUGCCUUGGAGUGGGGAAUAACAGUUGGAAACAGCUGCUAAUACCGCAUGAUGCAGUUGAGUCGCAUGGCUCUGACUGCCAAAGAUUUAUCGCUCUGAGAUGGACUCGCGUCUGAUUAGCUAGUUGGUGGGGCAACGGCCCACCAAGGCGACGAUCAGUAGCCGGACUGAGAGGUUGGCCGGCCACAUUGGGACUGAGACACGGCCCAGACUCCUACGGGAGGCAGCAGUGGGGAAUAUUGGGCAAUGGGCGCAAGCCUGACCCAGCAACGCCGCGUGAAGGAAGAAGGCUUUCGGGUUGUAAACUUCUUUUCUCAGGGACGAAGCAAGUGACGGUACCUGAGGAAUAAGCCACGGCUAACUACGUGCCAGCAGCCGCGGUAAUACGUAGGUGGCAAGCGUUAUCCGGAUUUACUGGGUGUAAAGGGCGUGUAGGCGGGAAAGCAAGUCAGAUGUGAAAACCAUGGGCUCAACCUGUGGCCUGCAUUUGAAACUGUUUUUCUUGAGUACUGGAGAGGCAGACGGAAUUCCUAGUGUAGCGGUGAAAUGCGUAGAUAUUAGGAGGAACACCAGUGGCGAAGGCGGUCUGCUGGACAGCAACUGACGCUGAGGCGCGAAAGCGUGGGGGAGCAAACAGGAUUAGAUACCCUGGUAGU
RNAcentral lists this ribosomal RNA (670 nucleotides) under uncultured bacterium. Its description in RNAcentral is "bacterial SSU rRNA". It matches the Rfam family "Bacterial small subunit ribosomal RNA", at positions 111 to 794 of the family's 1533-position model. The record is from RNAcentral.